This 707-nucleotide ribosomal RNA is filed under the name Prevotellaceae bacterium. RNAcentral's name for it is "bacterial SSU rRNA". It matches the Rfam family "Bacterial small subunit ribosomal RNA", at positions 1 to 699 of the family's 1533-position model. Lineage: Bacteria; Pseudomonadati; Bacteroidota; Bacteroidia; Bacteroidales; Prevotellaceae. The record is from RNAcentral.
AUAAUGAAGAGUUUGAUCCUGGCUCAGGAUGAACGCUAGCGGCAGGCUUAACACAUGCAAGUCGAGGGGCAUCACGGUUCAGCAAUGGACUGGUGGCGACCGGCGCACGGGUGAGUAACACGUAUGCAACCUGCCUCAGACAGGGGAAUAAUUCGGAGAAAUUCGGACUAAUACCGCAUAAAACAGGGAUACCGCAUGGUAAUAUUGUUAAAGAAGAGAUUUGGUUUGAGAUGGGCAUGCGUUUCAUUAGUUAGUUGGUAAGGUAACGGCUUACCAAGGCGACGAUGAAUAGGGGUUCUGAGAGGAAGGUCCCCCACACUGGUACUGAGACACGGACCAGACUCCUACGGGAGGCAGCAGUGAGGAAUAUUGGUCAAUGGGCGCGAGCCUGAACCAGCCAUGCCGCGUGCAGGAAUACAGCCCUAUGGGUUUUAAACUGCUUUUGUACGAGAGUAAAAGAUAGCAUUUAUGCUAUAUUGCAAGUAUUGUACGAAUAAGGAUCGGCUAACUCCGUGCCAGCAGCCGCGGUAAUACGGAGGAUUCGAGCGUUAUCCGGAUUCAUUGGGUUUAAAGGGUGCGUAGGUUGCAGAUUAAGUCAGCGGUGAAAAGGAGAUGCUUAACAUUUCCCGUGCCGUUGAAACUGAUUAGCUAGAAUAUUGGUGAAGUAUGCGGAAUGCGCAGUGUAGCGGUGAAAUGCAUAGAUAUUG